Oryza sativa Japonica Group (Japanese rice) is the source of this 681-nucleotide non-coding RNA. Lineage: Eukaryota; Viridiplantae; Streptophyta; Magnoliopsida; Poales; Poaceae. The record is from RefSeq and is a predicted model, not a curated record.
GUCCCAGCCGAUGUGCGCGACGUGCUUCACGUCCGUCGGGUUCCCGAUCUGCAUCUCCGGCUCCUUCACGCUCGGAUCUGCAAGCAACCAACCCCACAACACCAGCGUGCGCGGGCAUGCGCGUGUUCGUCAGACAAGGGGACAAGCACAUAAACAACAUAAUCGUGUAUAGCUUUCUACAAUCAUCAUCUCAUGACACACACAUGGAGAGAGAGAGAGAGAGAGAGACCUUCACGACAUCGUCUAGACCUUUUGCAUCAGUCAGUAUCUGCUUGUUUCUAGCCUCUAUGACACUAGCCACAAUGAACACAGAUAGAGGUAUCUGCUCUUCCUUUUUAGCCGCCUGUAAGUUUUUCUGUUCGAAUUUUCCACACUGCUUUAAGGCAUUUUCAUCUUUUGUGUUUGCUUGAGAUGUACUGUUAUCACUCUCCAACAUAGAAAAGAGACCUGGAUUGUACUCCAUAGACCACAUGAGCUGCAACAUUUGUAAAUCAAGGAAACAGCCUUAUAAACCUUCCACAGUACAAAUCAAUACUUGAUUGGAACUAAUCAACACACCUAAAAGGUUAAAUUAUGCGACCUUGUUGGGAAGCUUACCUCCCAAAGGUACAUUGUGUCUACAAAAGAGAACUCCCUUCGGAAAAGAACCAUCAGCAUACGGAAGGCAAAUAAGUAUUCCCC